UACGUAGGGUGCAAGCGUUGUCCGGAAUUAUUGGGCGUAAAGAGCGUGUAGGCGGCCCGAUUAGUCCGCUGUGAAAGUCCAGGGCUCAACCCUGGAAUGCCGGUGGAUACUGUCGGGCUAGAGUCCGGAAGGGGCGAGUGGAAUUCCUGGUGUAGCGGUGAAAUGCGCAGAUAUCAGGAAGAACACCGAUGGCGAAGGCAGGUCUCUGGGCUGACACUGACGCUCAUGCACGAAAGCGUGGGGAGCAAACAGG
This 253-nucleotide ribosomal RNA is filed under the name uncultured bacterium. RNAcentral describes it as "partial 16S ribosomal RNA". It matches the Rfam family "Bacterial small subunit ribosomal RNA", at positions 524 to 776 of the family's 1533-position model. The record is from RNAcentral.